Long non-coding RNA from Esox lucius (northern pike), 1233 nucleotides. The record is from Ensembl. NCBI's taxonomy places the organism in Eukaryota, Metazoa, Chordata, Actinopteri, Esociformes, Esocidae.
GUUGUUAUUAUAGAAGUUGCACAUAACUGCACUCUUAAAAGUUACCUGUACUUCUGUUACAUAAUGCAAACAUGUAUACCUGUAUGUUCUGCAUAUUCAGUCACUUCUUUAAGAAAUCUUUAUGGGUGGCCCAGCCUAUUUUAUUGGGUCAACUAAGCCUGUUUAUGUUGCAUGUUAACUAAUGGUAGCCUAUAACAUUUUCAGUUGUGCGAAGUCUCCUAAAGUAUCAAUGGACUUAAGUGUGAACUGAAUAUGUACAGUUAAGGUUUAUACAGGACCUUUUUUGGAGCAACACUGAUGAGCAUGUGAGUUUUCAAUUGAGCCAACACUGCAUGUAAUAUGGUCAACUGAACAGGAAGUCAAUACUAGGUGUGGGAACCGUUUAAAGGGACAGUACUCACCGCUUGCACUGCCCUUACAAAUGAAAGGAUGCCAGCAGUUCAUAUCAUGAAAGCCAAAAUGAGCUUAUAUCAAACUGUAAUGAGAUAUGGCUGCUUCAACCCUGCUACUUUUACCACAUAUAUUUGCCACAGAAUGUUUGCCACAGUGUGGGUAACCCUGUCCUCACCCUAGAAUAAUGGUUUAAGUUAUGUCGAUCAUGUGUUUACACAAUAGUGAGAUUGUGCUUACCGAAACCAGGUAUAACACGUGUUAGCAAUAUUCAGCAAUACCUUUAACUAUGUGCAUUUAUAAACUGCAUAAGUGUAUAGUUGGUUGGGAUGCUUACUGUGCAAAAAAGGGAAGCCAACAUUUUCUAGGUUUGGAUUCACGAAUGAUGAUGACAUCCAAUUAGGUUACUCUGGUUCAUUCCUUCCACAGUUGCAGCCCAUUCCGGGGGCCAAUUUACACAACAGGAGAUUUCCAAUUUGGAUAGAAUUUUUAAUCCAGUGUAAAGUUACUAACAUAAGUACUUCAAAUUGUUGUAACAUUCUGGAAUGUCACACUGAACAAUGGAAACCAAGGAAAGCCAAAUGGUGCCUUAAAAACACAUUUUUUUAAGGCACCAUUAAUAUUAUAAAAAUAAUUGAUGUUUGUUUAUGGUAUAUUGUUUUUUUUCCUAAGAGGCUAUGGAAGUCCCAGGAUAUGGGGAAUUGUUUUUCUGAGGAUAAGUUAGGCUAAGGAAAACAACUUGUUUAGACACUAGUUUUAUGGUAUUGGAAUAUAAUAAAUUUAUGAAAAGACAAUUGUUUAAUAUGGACUAUCAAGGGAUCUGAUAAUUUUUCUAAUUAGGAC